Long non-coding RNA from Octopus sinensis (East Asian common octopus), 271 nucleotides. RefSeq lists it as uncharacterized. The transcript has 3 exons. Lineage: Eukaryota; Metazoa; Mollusca; Cephalopoda; Octopoda; Octopodidae. The record is from RefSeq and is a predicted model, not a curated record.
UAGCCGUAUUUCGUUUGUGGCGGCGAACUGGCAGAAUCGAUAGCGCACCGGUCGAAGUGCUUAGCGUUAUUUUGCCUACCACUACGUUCUGACUUCAAAUUCCGCGGCGUCGACUUUGCCUUUCAUCCUUUCGGGGUCGAUGAAAUAAGUAUCAGUUCAGCACUGGGGUCGAUGUAACCGACUAGUUCCCUUCUUCGAAGUUUCAGGCAUUGUGUCUUAAGUAGAAAGAAUCAUUAUGAUUAUUAUUAUUAUUAUUAUUAUUAUUAUUAUU